RNAcentral lists this ribosomal RNA (346 nucleotides) under uncultured fungus. RNAcentral describes it as "eukaryotic LSU rRNA". Lineage: Eukaryota; Fungi. The record is from RNAcentral.
GUGAGUCAUCGAGUCUUUGAACGCAACUUGCACCAGCCAGCAAUGGAUGGUAUGUCUGUUUGAGUACGACAAUCAACUGCGCUUCGGUGCGAUGUGGCCCACCUGGUGGGUUGAAAAUGAGCCAGUCAGGCUGGACGGUCCUGCAGUGUGCUAGGGAUUGGGGCGUGUGCGUGGGAUGGGCGUAGAGUGCGGAUUGUGGCUAUGCCAUCGAUCUGCGCUCCACGCUAUCCCCCUCGCAUGCUCACUGUCUUGUCGCUGCCGGCGCCAACCAGCCAUCAACCACAACUACCACGUCUCAAAUCAGGCAAGAAGACCCGCUGAACUUAAGCAUAUCAAUAAGCGGAGG